This 202-nucleotide long non-coding RNA is filed under the name Elaeis guineensis (African oil palm). Its description in RNAcentral is "long non-coding RNA (EGUI_LNC020924)". The record is from RNAcentral. Lineage: Eukaryota; Viridiplantae; Streptophyta; Magnoliopsida; Arecales; Arecaceae.
GAUCAUCUUUCUCGGGAGUGCUAGCUCAUGAUGAAGGAUCUGAAUGGUUGAUGGAGACUUUUUUUUUCAGAUCAAAUGGACACCUCCAAAUCAAAAGGAAGAGCUUUUCAAGGAGGAGAUAGAAUGGAAGAAGAAGAACCAAACACUUUUUUGUUUUUCUUUCUCACAAAACUGAAACUAGAAAAUCCUAGAACCCCCACCC